GAGUUUGAUCAUGGCUCAGAUUGAACGCUGGCGGCAGGCCUAACACAUGCAAGUCGAGCGGAUGACGGGAGCUUGCUCCUUGAUUCAGCGGCGGACGGGUGAGUAAUGGCCUAGGAAUCUGCCUGGUAGUGGGGGACAACGUUUCGAAAGGAACGCUAAUACCGCAUACGUCCUACGGGAGAAAGCAGGGGACCUUCGGGCCUUGCGCUAUCAGAUGAGCCUAGGUCGGAUUAGCUAGUUGGUGGGGUAAUGGCUCACCAAGGCGACGAUCCGUAACUGGUCUGAGAGGAUGAUCAGUCACACUGGAACUGAGACACGGUCCAGACUCCUACGGGAGGCAGCAGUGGGGAAUAUUGGACAAUGGGCGAAAGCCUGAUCCAGCCAUGCCGCGUGUGUGAAGAAGGUCUUCGGAUUGUAAAGCACUUUAAGUUGGAGAAGGCAGUAGUUAAUACCUUGCUGUUUGACGUUACCGACAGAAUAAGCACCGGCUAACGUCU
This 497-nucleotide ribosomal RNA is filed under the name bacterium enrichment culture clone ALO1_GLFRUDD03G2LLT. RNAcentral's name for it is "bacterial SSU rRNA". It matches the Rfam family "Bacterial small subunit ribosomal RNA", at positions 9 to 505 of the family's 1533-position model. The record is from RNAcentral.